GGAAUCUUGGACAGUGGGCGAAAGCCUGAUCCAGCCAUGCCGCGUGAGUGAAGAAGGCCUUAGGGUUGUAAAGCUCUUUCAGCGGGGACGAUAAUGACGGUACCCGCAGAAGAAGCCCCGGCUAACUCCGUGCCAGCAGCCGCGGUAAGACGGAGGGGGCUAGCGUUGUUCGGAAUUACUGGGCGUAAAGCGCGCGUAGGCGGCGCGUUAAGUCAGAGGUGAAAGCCCGGGGCUCAACCCCGGAAUAGCCUUUGAGACUGGCGUGCUUGAGUGCGGGAGAGGUGAGUGGAAUUCCCAGUGUAGAGGUGAAAUUCGUAGAUAUUGGGAAGAACACCAGUGGCGAAGGCGGCUCACUGGCCCGUAACUGACGCUGAGGUGCGAAAGCGUGGGGAGCAAACAGG
This 401-nucleotide ribosomal RNA is filed under the name uncultured bacterium. RNAcentral's name for it is "bacterial SSU rRNA". It matches the Rfam family "Bacterial small subunit ribosomal RNA", at positions 358 to 776 of the family's 1533-position model. The record is from RNAcentral.